Molecule: ribosomal RNA, 504 nt
Filed under: uncultured bacterium
Lineage: Bacteria
Description: partial 16S ribosomal RNA
Rfam family: Bacterial small subunit ribosomal RNA
Source: RNAcentral
AUUGAACGCUGGCGGCAGGCCUAACACAUGCAAGUCGGACGGUAGCACAGAGAGCUUGCUCUUGGGUGACGAGUGGCGGACGGGUGAGUAAUGUCUGGGGAUCUGCCCGAUAGAGGGGGAUAACCACUGGAAACGGUGGCUAAUACCGCAUAACGUCGCGAGACCAAAGAGGGGGACCUUCGGGCCUCUCACUAUCGGACGAACACAGAUGGGAUUAGCUAGUAGGCGGGGUAAUGGCCCACCUAGGCGACGAUCCCUAGCUGGUCUGAGAGGAUGACCAGCCACACUGGAACUGAGACACGGUCCAGACUCCUACGGGAGGCAGCAGUGGGGAAUAUUGCACAAUGGGCGCAAGCCUGAUGCAGCCAUGCCGCGUGUAUGAAGAAGGCCUUCGGGUUGUAAAGUACUUUCAGCGGGGAGGAGGGCGACGCGGUUAAUAACCGCGUCGAUUGACGUUACCCGCAGAAGAAGCACCGGCUAACUCCGUGCCAGCCGCCGCAGUAA